CCUACGGGGGGCUGCAGUGGGGAAUAUUGGACAAUGGGGGCAACCCUGAUCCAGCCAUGCCGCGUGUGUGAAGAAGGCCCUCGGGUUGUAAAGCACUUUCAGUGAGGAAGAACGCCUGGUGGUUAAUACCCAUCAGGAAAGACAUCACUCACAGAAGAAGCACCGGCUAACUCCGUGCCAGCAGCCGCGGUAAUACGGAGGGUGCGAGCGUUAAUCGGAAUUACUGGGCGUAAAGCGCGCGUAGGUGGCUUGAUAAGCCGGUUGUGAAAGCCCCGGGCUCAACCUGGGAACGGCAUCCGGAACUGUCAAGCUAGAGUGCAGGAGAGGAAGGUAGAAUUCCCGGUGUAGCGGUGAAAUGCGUAGAGAUCGGGAGGAAUAACAGUGGCGAAGGCGGCCUUCUGGACUGACACUGACACUGAGGUGCGAAAGCGUGGGUAGCAAACAGGAUUAGAUACCCCGGUAGUC
Molecule: ribosomal RNA, 465 nt
Filed under: Vreelandella stevensii
Lineage: Bacteria; Pseudomonadati; Pseudomonadota; Gammaproteobacteria; Oceanospirillales; Halomonadaceae
Description: partial 16S ribosomal RNA
Rfam family: Bacterial small subunit ribosomal RNA
Source: RNAcentral